RNAcentral lists this ribosomal RNA (253 nucleotides) under uncultured bacterium. Its description in RNAcentral is "partial 16S ribosomal RNA". It matches the Rfam family "Bacterial small subunit ribosomal RNA", at positions 524 to 776 of the family's 1533-position model. The record is from RNAcentral.
GACAGAGGGUGCAAACGUUGCUCGGAAUCACUGGGCGUAAAGGGCGUGUAGGCGGGAAUGUAAGUCGGGCGUGAAAUCCCUAGGCUCAACCUAGGAACUGCACUCGAAACUGCGUUCCUUGAGUACUGGAGAGGAAAGCGGAAUACCUGGUGUAGAGGUGAAAUUCGUAGAUAUCAGGUGGAACACCAGCGGCGAAGGCGGCUUUCUGGACAGUAACUGACGCUGAGACGCGAAAGCGUGGGGAGCAAACAGG